AUGUCAGAGCACCCCUGUUGGCAAAUCCAAGAGCACCAAGCCUCAGAGCAGGAAGGUUUCCAACCCCAGCCUCUGGCAUCAAGCACCCCUGGGUUUGGAAAAGUCUGUGCCUUACAAAGCAACAUAACACCCUGUCAUCUUCAAAGGGAAGGUCUACGGCCCCGCUCUCAGGAAAGUCCAGGCCCCAUGAUGAUCCAACAUUGCUUGCUCAGCCCUCAUUUAGACGUGGCUGGAGAAGCGCUGCAACCCGGCGCACUAAGCGUGGCCAAGAGGAGCUACCACACAUCUGAGGUCAGUGACGGCCGGAAGGAGACACCCCGUGUCCGAGGUCAGGGGCGGUGACAGAGAGGAUCCACCCCUCGCCCGAGGCCGGGGGCAGCGGCUGGGAGGAGCAACCCGAGGAGCGGUGGCUGCGCAGGCGCAGGAGCAGGAGGGCCUAGAGGAGCUAUCCCACGAUGAAGGUCAGGAAGGGUGGCAGUAAGGAGAUACCCCUCGUCCAAGGUAAGGAGCAACCGUGAAGAGAUACCCCACACCCAAGGUAAGAGAAACCUAAGUAAGACGCUAGGUGUUGCAAGAGGGCAUCAGAGGGCAGACACACUGAAACCAUACUCACAGAAAACUAGUCAGUCUAAUCACACCAGGACCAAAGCCUUGUCUAAAUCAAUGAAACCAAGCCAUGCC
RNAcentral lists this long non-coding RNA (681 nucleotides) under Ovis aries (sheep). RNAcentral describes it as "lncRNA (ENSOARG00000026844.1)". Lineage: Eukaryota; Metazoa; Chordata; Mammalia; Artiodactyla; Bovidae. The record is from RNAcentral.